Molecule: ribosomal RNA, 253 nt
Filed under: uncultured prokaryote
Description: partial 16S ribosomal RNA
Rfam family: Bacterial small subunit ribosomal RNA
Source: RNAcentral
ACGGAGGGUGCAAGCGUUAUCCGGAUUCACUGGGUUUAAAGGGUGUGUAGGCGGGCUAUUAAGUCAGUGGUGAAAUCUCAGGGCUCAACCCUGAAACUGCCAUUGAUACUAUUAGUCUUGAAUUCUGUUGAGGUGGGCGGAAUAUGUCAUGUAGCGGUGAAAUGCUUAGAUAUGACAUAGAACACCGAUUGCGAAGGCAGCUCACUAAGCAGCGAUUGACGCUGAGGCACGAAAGCGUGGGGAUCAAACAGGA